This 616-nucleotide long non-coding RNA is filed under the name Homo sapiens (human). Its description in RNAcentral is "long intergenic non-protein coding RNA 3156". The record is from RNAcentral. Lineage: Eukaryota; Metazoa; Chordata; Mammalia; Primates; Hominidae.
UUGACAGUUUGGCUUCCCUGUUCUGGGUGGCAAAGCCUGUGGAGUACUCACCUACCUGCUGCAUGAAGGCAGCAUGGAGGGACUGUGGUGGAUUAUCUGCAAAGAUGGCCAAAAUUCUCUCAUCCCUGCAGGCACAUACAAGAUGCCAGAAUCAGUCAAAACUAAGCUCACUGUCCUUGCUAAUAUUCUGCCCCAGAGAAGAACUGAAGCUCAGCUCUUCACCCUACAGAAAGCCUGAAUUUUGUAAAUGUUCUGCUUAGAAUGAGGAAGAAAGAUGAAGAAUGAGGAGGAAGAAGGAAGGAACGAGAGAGAGCCAGGUUUCCAGAAGUUCCCCAGUCAUUGAGCAUUUCUGAGGCUCUUGAUGCAUAUGCCAAGUAGUUAUGGAGAAAGACACAGCAGCUUACCUCUGCAGGCAUCAUUGUGUGAAAGGAAGACCCAGGCUCUCUCACCACCCUUGAACAGAAGCCUUUUGCUAAGGUGAUAGCUACAUGUCCAAGCCUAUUGCGUGGCAUGCAUUUUGCCUUCUGCAGCCCACUAAAGGAAAUUGAAGUAUACAGAAUGCUUAUUUGGUCUACUCAGUAUCAUCCUAAAUGUAUGUACCAAUGCUUAGGAGUUU